CGGGUGAGUAACGCGUGGAUAACCUGCCUCACACUGGGGGAUAACAGUUAGAAAUGACUGCUAAUACCGCAUAAGCGCACAGUACCGCAUGGUACAGUGUGAAAAACUCCGGUGGUGUGAGAUGGAUCCGCGUCUGAUUAGCCAGUUGGCGGGGUAACGGCCCACCAAAGCGACGAUCAGUAGCCGACCUGAGAGGGUGACCGGCCACAUCGGGACUGAGACACGGCCCAA
RNAcentral lists this ribosomal RNA (231 nucleotides) under uncultured bacterium. RNAcentral's name for it is "partial 16S ribosomal RNA". It matches the Rfam family "Bacterial small subunit ribosomal RNA", at positions 103 to 334 of the family's 1533-position model. The record is from RNAcentral.